GUGGGGAAUUUUGGACAAUGGGGGCAACCCUGAUCCAGCCAUGCCGCGUGCGGGAAGAAGGCCUUCGGGUUGUAAACCGCUUUUGUCAGGGAAGAAAUCCUUUGGGUUAAUACCUCGGAGGGAUGACGGUACCUGAAGAAUAAGCACCGGCUAACUACGUGCCAGCAGCCGCGGUAAUACGUAGGGUGCGAGCGUUAAUCGGAAUUACUGGGCGUAAAGCGUGCGCAGGCGGUUUUGUAAGAUCGAUGUGAAAUCCCCGGGCUCAACCUGGGAGCUGUAUUGGUGACUGCAAGGCUGGAGUGUGGCAGAGGGGGAUGGAAUUCCGCGUGUAGCAGUGAAAUGCGUAGAUAUGCGGAGGAACACCGAUGGCGAAGGCAAUCCCCUGGGCCUGCACUGACGCUCAUGCACGAAAGCGUGGGGAGCAAACAGGAUUAGAAACCCUGGUAGUCC
RNAcentral lists this ribosomal RNA (450 nucleotides) under uncultured bacterium. RNAcentral's name for it is "partial 16S ribosomal RNA". It matches the Rfam family "Bacterial small subunit ribosomal RNA", at positions 354 to 796 of the family's 1533-position model. The record is from RNAcentral.